GUUUACCUACCUCUAUUCGAGAAUUAAGUAAACCCUGUUUUUCCAAACAAUGCAAAAGUUUACUCCUCGAUGCUCUAAGUUUCUGCGAUGACUAUGGUGAUCUUACCAUGAUUAUGCAAACAAUAUCUAAAACUGAUUAAUUCUUGUUUCUUUUCUUCUGUAUAUGAGCUAAAUUAAUUUUCACACGGUAGACACGUAUACAGCCGGCUUUGGUAAUUCUUCCAUGGCAUUCAGUUCUGCCAUGGAGCCUGAUUUCUUUCUUUUUUUUCCUUAACUGUAUGAAAUCUUAACCCCCCACCUCGAAUAGCUAUUGCUAAAUGUGGGAGGGUAAAUGGCUGUUAA
Molecule: non-coding RNA, 342 nt
Organism: Paramuricea clavata
Lineage: Eukaryota; Metazoa; Cnidaria; Anthozoa; Malacalcyonacea; Plexauridae
Source: the annotation of a GenBank genome assembly